Molecule: long non-coding RNA, 931 nt
Organism: Alligator mississippiensis (American alligator)
Lineage: Eukaryota; Metazoa; Chordata; Crocodylia; Alligatoridae
Exons: 4
Source: RefSeq, a predicted model, not a curated record
AGGGUCGGCAGGGACCUUGUGGCAGGGCACUGCAGGUGCCGGCCACUUUAAGGGCCUGAGACAGCAGCCGGCAGGUGCCUGAUGAGGACGGCCAUUUUAGAUUUCAGGGCUGCCCAUAGAAACAGGGCAUUUUGCUGCUGGGAGGCCAGGCAACAACACUGCCUGGCUGCAGGUGUCAUCUGGAGCUAAGGUUAGAGGUCAGAGAUGCUGAGAGUCUACUUAAGCCUCAGGCCUCAGGUUUUCAGACUGUUUCAGCUCUAGCUAAAAAACUUAACUCAGGUGUAGUAACAUUAACUCAGGUGUAGAAAUGACUGAUGCUGAAGUACUGGAGAUCUACCCAUGUCUCCAUGCAUGUACUUUUGCAUAGGUACUGCUGAAUAAGUUGAGGCAACUUCCCAACACAAGACUUCAAGAUGGGGAAGAAAGAAAUGAGUACAGAACAGGCCACAAUUUCAUGAUGACUGCACUGGAAGGGAAUUUGUCAGUUUCAGAAAGGCUGGUGAAGAUGGAGAAAACUGAUGGUAGAGAUGGUGAAAUAAGAAAAAAAAAACAAUUGGUUAAAACUUAUGAAAACAUCCAUACCCUCUUGACCAGACAGGAGGAGACGUGUAGUCACCUUGUACUUGGAUGUACCAAAUGCCUAUAUCCUAUACUUCAAACAUGAAACUCAAGCUGCUUAAUGCAGUAUCAGUAGUCAUCAAAUGCUCUACCAUUCAUGAGCAAACACAUGACAAGGCCCAUGCCAUGACCCACACUAACAAAAUAAAAACAGUAGGUGACAUUGCAGGCCCAGCGUGGUCUUUUGCCUUGACCCCAUUCAAGCUAUUCUGUAUAUUAUAAAAACAGAACACAAAAACUAAGGGAAAAGUGGCCAUUCUACUCCCUCCAGUAUCAAAUACACAGAAAAGCAUACUUCCAGUGCUUAUACUGU